Molecule: ribosomal RNA, 1340 nt
Filed under: uncultured fungus
Lineage: Eukaryota; Fungi
Description: eukaryotic LSU rRNA
Rfam family: Eukaryotic large subunit ribosomal RNA (bases 665-1340)
Source: RNAcentral
AAGUCGUAACAAGGUUUCCGUAGGUGAGCCUGCGGAAGGAUCAUUAUCGAAAUAAACUUGAACAGGCUGUUGCUGGUUCCUUUCAGGAGGGGCAUGUGCACGCUUGUCAUCUUUAUCAUUUCUCCAACUGUGCACAUAACUGUAGACCUGGGGGCUUUCUUUUUGGAACUCGUUCCGAGUCGGGACUGCUGUGCUUCAUUCGAGAGGUCGGCUUUGCCCUUUGCAUUUUCCAGGUCUAUGUCAUUUAUUUCACAACCUCUGUGUAAAAUGGUUUAGAAUGGUUGAACAAUAUAAAAAGUUAAUACAACUUUCAGCAACGGAUCUCUUGGCUCUCGCAUCGAUGAAGAACGCAGCGAAAUGCGAUAAGUAAUGUGAAUUGCAGAAUUCAGUGAAUCAUCGAAUCUUUGAACGCAUCUUGCGCUCCUUGGUAUUCCGAGGAGCAUGCCUGUUUGAGUGUCAUUCGACUUGUCAACCGCAUCAAUUGCGAUGUGGCUUGGAUGUGGGGGUUUUUGCAGGCUCUCUUUCAUGAGGUCGGCUCCCCUGAAAUGUAUUAGUGGUAUCUGAGCAGAACUACUACCGUCAGGUGUGAUAAAUUAUCUAUGCCUUUGGGUAUGCUGCAUCAACAGAUUGUGCUGCUCAUAACGAAACAAUUGUUUGACGAAUUUGACCUCAAAUCAGGUAGGACUACCCGCUGAACUUAAGCAUAUCAAUAAGCGGAGGAAAAGAAACUAACAAGGAUUCCCCUAGUAACUGCGAGUGAAGCGGGAAAAGCUCAAAUUUGAAAUCUGGUGGUCCUUGACCGUCCGAGUUGUAAUCUAGAGAAGUGUUACCUGUGCUGGACCGUGUAAAAGUCUUCUGGAAUGAAGCAUCACAGAGGGUGAGAAUCCCGUCUUUGACAUGGACUGCCUGUACAUGAUGGUGCGCUCUCGAAGAGUCGAGUUGUUUGGGAAUGCAGCUCAAAAUGGGUGGUAAAUGCCAUCUAAAGCUAAAUAUUGGCGAGAGACCGAUAGCGAACAAGUACCGUGAGGGAAAGAUGAAAAGAACUUUGGAAAGAGAGUUAAACAGUACGUGAGAUUGCUGAAAGGGAAACGCUUGAAGUCAGUCGCGUCGGCUAGAAAUCAGCCUUGCUUUUGCUUGGUGUACUUUCUGGUUUUUGACGGGUCAGCAUCAAUUUUGACCACCGGAUAAAGUCGUUGGGAAUGUGGCAUCCUUGGAUGUGUUAUAGCCCGAGGUCGCAUACGGUGGUUGGGAUUGAGGAACUCAGCACGCCUGCAAGGGCCGGGUCUUUUUUGACCACGUUUUUCGUGCUUAGGAUGCUGGCAUAAUGGCUUUAAUCGACC